RNAcentral lists this ribosomal RNA (450 nucleotides) under uncultured Paraglomus. RNAcentral's name for it is "SSU rRNA". It matches the Rfam family "Eukaryotic small subunit ribosomal RNA", at positions 569 to 1025 of the family's 1831-position model. The record is from RNAcentral. Lineage: Eukaryota; Fungi; Glomeromycota; Glomeromycetes; Paraglomerales; Paraglomeraceae.
AGCAGCCGCGGUAAUUCCAGCUCCAAUAGCGUAUAUUAAAGUUGUUGCAGUUAAAAAGCUCGUAGUUGAAUUUCAGGCCUGGCUGGACGGUCCGCCCACUGGGUGAGAACUGUCUGUGGUCGGGUCCUACCUUCUGGCGAAGCGUCAUGGCCUUAACCGGCCGUGGCGGGGAACCAGGACUUUUACUGUGAAAAAUUGAGUGUUCAAAGCAGGCAGUCGCUUGAAUACAUUAGCAUGGAAUAAUGGAAUAGGACAGUGGUUCUAUUUGUUGGUUUCUAGGACCGUUGUAAUGAUUAAUAGGGAUAGUUGGGGGCAUUAGUAUUCAAUUGUCAGAGGUGAAAUUCUUGGAUUUAUUGAAGACUAACUACUGCGAAAGCAUUUGCCAAGGAUGUUUUCAUUAAUCAAGAACGAAAGUUAGAGGAUCGAAGACGAUCAGAUACCGUCGUAGUC